Molecule: long non-coding RNA, 257 nt
Filed under: Elaeis guineensis (African oil palm)
Lineage: Eukaryota; Viridiplantae; Streptophyta; Magnoliopsida; Arecales; Arecaceae
Description: long non-coding RNA (EGUI_LNC009485)
Source: RNAcentral
GACAACUCUUGUCCAAUAUUUUUUGAAAUAUGUUAUAGCCUACUUCAAUCUUAAAUCCUAAAGCCUCACCUAACAGUUAUUGAUCUUAUUUCUUAAUUAAGUCAGACCAUUCCGCUCACCCACAGAUAUAAAGUCAUCAUUGGGAUCCUCACCUAACAGUUAUCAAGCCCAACCCUAUCUUUACCUAAAGCAUCUCAUGCUAUAAAGUGGUUGCAUCUUCUUUGAUGAACUGAACCACUGUAAUUAGUCGAGAACAG